Molecule: long non-coding RNA, 584 nt
Filed under: Mytilus galloprovincialis (Mediterranean mussel)
Lineage: Eukaryota; Metazoa; Mollusca; Bivalvia; Mytilida; Mytilidae
Source: RNAcentral
AUCACGUUUUGAGUAGUAUUGACACAAAUAAUUUUACGCCUGAAAAGAUAAACGGUCUAGUUGAUGACCUUGGCAAUGUACUGUUAGAUACGGCAGAAGGAGUUCUAGGCAAGACUAAAAAAAGACCGGUUUAUCCCGACCGCAAAAAUAAACCAUGGUUUGAUAAAAAUUGCCAAGACAAACGUAAUGAGUUUCACAAGGCUAGAAACUUAUAUAGCAGAGCGAAAUCAGGUGGUAAUAAACUGGCAAUGAAUAGCAAGGCCAAGGAAUACCGCAAGACACUUAACAUUAACUAUCAGCAGUAUAAAGAAAAAUGUUCGGAUGAACUGAGGGCACUCUCAAAAAAUGACUCUAAGGGAUUUUGGAAGACACUUAAAAAAUAUUCUGGCUACAAAAAAGACAACCCCUCUAUCAGUAUUGAAGCAUUUCAUGAAUAUUUUAAAAACAUGAAUGCAAAUGACGAAGAAGAUCUUGACGGCAUCGACAUUAAUGCGUUGUGUAGUGACCCCAUUUAUAAUGAAAUUUUAAAUGGAGUCAUUACAGAACAAGAGGUUGUGGAUGCCGUUAAGAACUUGAAACAUGGU